Molecule: ribosomal RNA, 254 nt
Filed under: uncultured bacterium
Lineage: Bacteria
Description: partial 16S ribosomal RNA
Rfam family: Bacterial small subunit ribosomal RNA
Source: RNAcentral
UACGUAGGCAGCGAGCGUUGUUCGGAGUUACUGGGCGUAAAGGGUGUGUAGGCGGUUGUUUAAGUUUGGUGUGAAAUCUCCCGGCUCAACUGGGAGGGUGCGCCGAAUGCUGAAUGACUUGGAGUGCGGGAGAGGAAAGUGGAAUUCCUGGUGUAGCGGUGAAAUGCGUAGAUAUCAGGAGGAACACCGGUGGUGUAGACGGCUUUCUGGACAGAUACCGACGCUGAGGCACGAAAGCUAGGGGAGCAAACAGG